UAGGGAAUCUUCGGCAAUGGACGAAAGUCUGACCGAGCAACGCCGCGUGAGUGAAGAAGGUUUUCGGAUCGUAAAACUCUGUUGUUAGAGAAGAACAAGGACGUUAGUAACUGAACGUCCCCUGACGGUAUCUAACCAGAAAGCCACGGCUAACUACGUGCCAGCAGCCGGGGUAAUACGUAGGUGGCAAGCGUUGUCCGGAUUUAUUGGGCGUAAAGCGAGCGCAGGCGGUUUCUUAAGUCUGAUGUGAAAGCCCCCGGCUCAACCGGGGAGGGUCAUUGGAAACUGGGAGACGUGAGUGCAGAAGAGGAGAGUGGAAUUCCAUGUGUAGCGGUGAAAUGCGUAGAUAUAUGGAGGAACACCAGUGGCGAAGGCGGCUCUCUGGUCUGUAACUGACGCUGAGGCUCGAAAGCGUGGGGAGCAAACAGG
Molecule: ribosomal RNA, 429 nt
Filed under: Gemmatimonadota bacterium
Lineage: Bacteria; Pseudomonadati; Gemmatimonadota
Description: Gemmatimonadetes bacterium partial 16S ribosomal RNA
Rfam family: Bacterial small subunit ribosomal RNA
Source: RNAcentral